Trematomus bernacchii (emerald rockcod) is the source of this 1838-nucleotide long non-coding RNA. RefSeq lists it as uncharacterized. NCBI's taxonomy places the organism in Eukaryota, Metazoa, Chordata, Actinopteri, Perciformes, Nototheniidae. The record is from RefSeq and is a predicted model, not a curated record. The transcript is spliced from 2 exons.
GUCUGACGUCCCUCCUUAAGGUCUGACGUCCCUCCUUAAGGUCUGACUUCCCUGGUUAAGGUCUGACGUCCCUCCUUAAGGUCUGACUUCCCUGGUUAAGGUCUGACGUCCCUCCUUAAGGUCUGACGUCCCUCGUGAAGGCCUGACGUCCCUCCUUAAGGUAUGACGUCCCUCCUUAAGGUCUGACGUCCCUCAUGAAGGCCUGACGUCCCUCCUUAAGGUAUGACGUCCCUCGUUAAGGCCUGACGUCCCUCCUUAAGGUCUGACGUCUCUCGUUAAGGCCUGACGCCCCUCCUUAAGGUCUGACGUCCCUCCUUAAGGUCUGACCUCCCUCGUUAAGGUGUGUCCUCCCUCCUUAAGGUCUGACGUCCCUCGUUAAGGCCUGACGUCCCUCGUUAAGAACUGACCUCCCUCCUUAAGGUCUGACGUCCCUCCUUAAGGUCUGACGUCCCUCGUUAAGACCUGACGUCCCUCGUUAAGAACUGACGUCCCUCGUUAAGGCCUGACGUCCCUCGUUAAGAACUGACGUCCCUCGUUAAGGCCUGACGUCCCUCCUUAAGGCCUGACGUCCCUCGUUAAGAACUGACGUCCCUCCUUAAGGUCUGACGUCCCUCCUUAAGGCCUGACGUCCCUCGUUAAGAACUGACGUCCCUCCUUAAGGUCUGACGUCCCUCCUUAAGGCCUGACGUCCCUCCUUAUGAACUGACGUCCCUCCUUAAGGUCUGACGUCCCUCCUUAAGGCCUGACGUCACUCGUUAAGAACUGACGUCCCUCCUUAAGGUCUGACGUCCCUCCUUAAGGCCUGACGUCACUCGUUAAGAACUGACGUCCCUCGUUAAGAACUGACAUCCCUCGUUAAGGCCUGACGUCCCUCGUUAAGAACUGACGUCCCUCGUUAAGGCCUGACGUCCCUCCUUAUGAACUGACGUCCCUCCUUAAGGUCUGACGUCCCUCCUUAAGGUCUGAUGUCCCUCCUUAAGAUCUGACGUCCCUCGAUAAGUGAAUCUGUCUCUCAGGAUGUUCACAUGUGAAACUUAAACUCAAAACAAAGUGUUUUCUCUCUCUCUCUCCCACACGCUCUCACUCUGCUCUCUGAUUGGCUGCCCUCUCAUACCAGCCCAGCCCACUCACUGUACCAGCCAAUAGGAAAGCUUCAGUGGGAUUCUGCUCCACCCACUCAGUGAGCAGGAAACAGAGCUCCAUUCAUUGGUUCAGAUGUACUGUUUAUUUUCUACAUGAGGCAUCAAACAUAUAUAUUUUAAAAGUAAUUGUGAAAUAUAUGUAUAUAAAUAUACAAAUAAAUGUAACAGUUAUAUAAUAAUUGCCUCUUUAAUGUGUAGUUAAUUAAUCUAUGCUGCAAAUAAAGCAUGACGUGACAUAAGGAUGGAUUUAAGCAAAUGAUCAGUAUUUAGUUCCAGGGUUCAGACCAGUCUCUGGUUAGGAUGUACUGUGUAUUAGUACAGAGUAUUAGUACAUAGUAUUAGUACAGACUCAGAGUAUUAGUACAUAGCUCCUACAUUGCACGACCUUGUGGUAAAUGCUUGUAUGCUGCUCAUGCUCUUUCUGCAUAUCAUGUAUUUCUGUUUGCCAUGUUUAUAAAUGUAAUGUUCUUAAAUGUUGUACGUGACGGGACUACGGAUGGAAACUAGCUCAAAGCUCAAAUCCGGCUCAUUUACAUUUCAAAGCAUUAUUUUGUUUAAAAUGUUCAUUAAUGUGUUCUGUCCCGGUUCAAAUAAACCAUUAAAUGAAAAAAUAAUAAUAACUUGAAUUGAUAUAGCGCCUUUCAUAACCUCAAGGUCGCUUUACAAAGAAACAUACAAGGACAAGACAUAACACAU